GCAUAUUUUGUUUUUCGGUCACAAUCGCUCAGAAUAACUAUAGUCUAUAGGACUAAUCCUAUUAAAAGUUAAAACCUAGCUAAGUCUAUUAGUUGUCCAAAUUGUACUUUUGUCAUCUAAUAUAUACGUCUGACCUAAGAGUUGAUUCUAGGGGCAGUUAGGCUACAUGUACAUAGCCAAAAAAGAAUUAACUAUAUAAUCAUAACAAUUUGUAUGCUACGAUAUUUUGUAUAAUUUUAUGAAAUAUUCCAACAAUACCCUUAUCCGCGCGUGAAAGGUUGAAAGUCGUUUUUUUAAUCUGGAAACUGGAAAGUGAAAAGAACGAUUAUUCGCGAGAAAGGAAAAAGGGUUGACUCGACGAGUAACGGUUGUUCAAAGCGACAUCAAUUGGCUCUUCAAAGUUAGGGUUACAUAAGACCUUCUAUUUUCAAGACGGCUCGAGCGAAUGCAGAGCACAAGCCAACCAAUCAAAUAAGUCCAGUAUGAUUGAGAAUUAUGGGGUCAAGCAACAAUUUCAUUGACAAUAAGGUAAAUAUGUGAAUCAAUCUCUUUAAGAAGAUGAAAAAUAAUGCGAUGUAUUGAAUUGGGGAAGAUAAACAGUAUCUUAUGUCAUAUGUUCCAUACUAUUUUUAAAUUAGAGUAUAGUAUACAUUUCUCUUUCUCUUCUUUUGCAAUUUGUUUAUCCUGCUCUGCUUCCUGAUUCUUCUUGGUUUACUACUUGAUCAGUUACAUUGUUUUGUCGUCCAACACCGUCGCCACUCAUCAUCUCCUCUUCGUCUCUUCUUCUAUUCUAUUUUAUAAUCACAGUACAUUGUUUGUUGUACCAUUGUUAUGGUUCCCUUAAUUGUAACUUUUAUCCGCUAACCAUGUUUGUUUAAAAACUUGCGGUGUGUGUCUUAACAUUCCAAGAUAGGUAUAUGUACAAAUUUAUUUAUGUUUGUGUUUCUUUUAUCUUUUACAUAUUCUAUCUCUCACUUCAAUAUAUUGAGGGGUUGCGUGCUGAUUGUUAUACCACAAUCAUUAACUUCUCCACUUAUUAUCCAUAUAUCUUUGAUCAAUUGCAGAACCUACAUAACUUUGGAACGGGGAAAGAAAUGUAUAUUCGGUUUUUUCAAUUUUGGUACAUACUACACUUCAUAUAGUAUAGUCUAGAUCCUUUGUAUUCCCACAAACCACAUUCAGACAUAUAUGUUGCGUUGCCUCCCUCCCCACAAAGUAUCUUCUUAGCCUCCACAUGUAACUCAUGCUUCAUAUAUGCCCAUUUAUACCGCGUCUGAAUGGACAGUAAAUCUUCGUAAUUGUAGACAUUGACGCUAACUUUCAUAAAAUACGCAAGAAUUUGGCAAGUUAAAAGAGAUUAGGAUGGCCAAAUCAUAAACAAGGUGGCCAUACUAUAUUACAGAUAGUAUAGUAUAGCGGUCGCAUCCGAUAUAAAAGUGACAGACUGUUCAAUGUACAGGUUUGGUAUAAUCCAAUUAAGCACAUAGUUUUUUUUUCUUUUGUCUGCUUUCACACGCACAGGCGCCUAUGAGGUUCUUUUUGGAAAUUUUAGACCAAACCUGUAUUUUCUGUGGGUAUUUACUGUAGCAUGACUAUAUUCUUCAUUUUGUUGGUCCUUAUGAAUAUCCGGCAAAUUCUCCCUUGAUUUUAUCACAAAACAUUAUUAUUCAGGGUUUUUUAUAGCAGAAAUUUUAGGGAAAUAUAAAAAAUUAUUUCUUAAUUUUUAACUAAAAAAUAAGAAACUGUUUCUUGUCAAUUUUUCUUUUUUGACUUUCAUUACCGUUUUAAACUAAAACGCUUCUUUAAAUUAUUCUUACAUUAUUAUUAUCAGACGCUCUUCGAUUCGACGUGAAUAUGAAAAUAUCUCUUGCAAUGACAGAGUGAGAAAGGAAAUGUAAUAGAGACCACAAAUAUAUAAAUAUAUUGCGUGAUUAAAUAACUCGUCCGAGUCACUAUCGUAUCCUUUUGGCAACCUUUUCAAGUUUCCUUCGUGAAAAUGACUACACUUUUAAGUUACAAAAAAAAAAAAAAUGACUACACUUUUGAAGUUUACAUGCGACUGUUGUAUGCAAAUAAUACUCGCAAAAAGCAACCUUAAUCAAAAUCUGUAUAUGGUUGUAAAAUAAACAAGUACAUAUCUAAAGGUUGAAUUUUCACUAGAGCUAACUUUCUUAACUUUUAUUUGAAAAUCUGGCAGUUUAUUGCGAAAUAAAUAACUGUUUAUCAGGUGAUAAAAUUCGUUUCUGAUUUAAAGAUAAAAAGACCCAACAUUGAAGUGAGCGGCCAAGAAAAAAACUAGAAGCUAGCUCAAUUUUCAUUAGAUUUUGCUUCCUCAGUAAUCCUACAAAACUUAUUACUAAGUUGAGUAUCUGGGGUUACUUUACCUCCAUAAGUGAUCUUCUUGUUACAUUUGUAUCUUUUGAAUCAAUUUCACUGAAUAUUAUAUUGAACAUCUUUUCCAAUUUUACCUUAAAUAUCUCAGUGCACUUUUAAUAUAUUAAAUCUUCAAAGCUGACGUAGUAUACGAUCAAACACGUUACAUGUAAAUAAUUCAUAAACGGACGAAUAUUUUGCAGGUAGCGAACUACUUUACUAUAAUCCGUACGUUCUCUUGUUAUUAUUUAAUAAAACUUAUCUUUCAUAAGCAAGCGAUAAGUUAACAUAAACUUGGUUUGCAUUAUAUUGAUUUUGUUGAAGUGCUAAAGUCAUUAACGUUUCCGAAAACUUCAAUCUACUAGUAAUGAACAUUAUUGGGUUCCUACAUAACCUCUGAAACAGAUAAUCUGAUAGUGUUGCACUUGCAGAUCUAAAAACAAGAGUGGAUCAAACCUAUCUACUAUUGCAAGAGUAGAUCAAAAAUAUCUAACGGUUUUAAAAUAUAUUUGAAUGGUGAAAAUGAAAAAAAAACGUCAAUACUCUACAAAUUUAAAAUAAGUUAUAUUAUAUUUAUAUUAUUACUUAUUUAUCAUAAUUAAAAUUAGCUAUUUUAAUAAAUAAUUUACAAAUUCAAUAAAUAUAAUAUUUUAUUUAAAUAUAAUAGAAAAUUAAUUUAAACAUAUAUUCGCUAUUUUGAACAUAUAUAUAUAUUUAGAUGAUUAAAAAUAAUCAUAAUUUUUUGGUGAAGUAGUAUUCUAUUACCAACAUAAAUAUAAUAAAUUUUAAUAAAUAUUUUAUAUAUAACAAAUAUUUUACUUUAAGUAUAUAUAAUUGAUGAUGAAUUUAAAAAAAAAUUAGAACAAUGAUAAACUUAUAAAUAAAUAGAUUUAAAGUACAUAUUAGUAGAAUGAUGAAUUAAAAGUUUAUUUUAAUUGUAAUGAAUGAUACUUUAUUUUAUAAUUUUACAUUAUUUAAAACUGAAAUGAUAUAUUACAUAUUUUCAAAGAGAGAACCACUUGCACAACUCUAAAUAUGAAAAGUGUCCAAUGUUACUAGUGUUUCUUGAUUUUUCUUUACAAAAUGAACCACUUUGUACAACUAUUUGAAUUAUUCGGAGAUCAAAUUUUCUUUAGUGGAACUCACAUUUUUGUUACUUAUUUUAAUGACAAAUUUUAGGUGGAUAUUCCACAUUGGAAAACUACUUUUGUUCCAUCUCCCAUCCAAACUAAAUUUACAAUAAUAUAUUCAAAAUUUAUAAUGAUUGGAUUUAAAGUCUUUACGGCUGACUACCGAGGUGCAAUACUAAAAGUCUAAAACCAUAUUGCUUUGUUCUUGAUUUAACUUACAUGUUGUAUUAUUACUUGUAUACUAUACACUCCAGUCGAAAGAGCCUACAGUAAGUUGGCUAUUCGACCAUUUGACUACAAAGAUCUUAACGAUGCAACAAGUUACUUUUCACCAAGGUAUUUCUAGUUCGAAUUCCGAUAGAAAAAUGUUUUUGGUAUUAACACAAGCUAAUUCUGGACCCAAAAACAUUAGGACCCAAGCCAAAACUCCAAAAAUCAUUUCUCAAAUCACAUUCAUAAGGAAAAAAGUUGAAAUAGCAUUUAGAAAAUUUAAGUCCACCUAAAACUAACUUUAGUAAAAUUGUAUAAUAUUAAUGCAUGUGCCGUAGCAUGUUGGGCUGCAAGGUCUCUCUCAAUAAAUUGAAGCCAACUCUAUAUUUCAUUUUAAAACCAAGUCUCACGAAAUAAUUAAAGUCCAAUAAGCGAAAUAUGAGCCCCAGACGCAAGAAAGAGAGGAGAGAUGUGUCUAUGUUUGGUUGAAAACCCCGCCAGCGAUUGGAUACUGAAUUUUAGAAUUUAUAAUGGAGUUGGUUUCAUUUUUAUUCAAAUGAA
Long non-coding RNA from Brassica rapa (field mustard), 4274 nucleotides. RefSeq lists it as uncharacterized. The record is from RefSeq and is a predicted model, not a curated record. Lineage: Eukaryota; Viridiplantae; Streptophyta; Magnoliopsida; Brassicales; Brassicaceae.